UACGUAGGGUGCAAACGUUGCUCGGAAUCAUUGGGCGUAAAGCGCACGUAGGCGGCCUGUUAAGUCGGAUGUGAAAGCCCCGGGCUCAACCCGGGAAGUGCAUACGAAACUGGCGGGCUUGAAUAUGGAAGAGGGUCGCGGAAUUCCCGGUGUAGAGGUGAAAUUCGUAGAUAUCGGGAGGAACACCAGUGGCGAAGGCGGCGACCUGGGCCGAUAUUGACGCUGAGGUGCGAAAGCGUGGGGAGCAAACAGG
RNAcentral lists this ribosomal RNA (253 nucleotides) under uncultured bacterium. RNAcentral describes it as "partial 16S ribosomal RNA". It matches the Rfam family "Bacterial small subunit ribosomal RNA", at positions 524 to 776 of the family's 1533-position model. The record is from RNAcentral.